RNAcentral lists this unclassified non-coding RNA (244 nucleotides) under Alloconiothyrium aptrootii. RNAcentral describes it as "partial contains 5.8S ribosomal RNA, internal transcribed spacer 2, and large subunit ribosomal RNA". Lineage: Eukaryota; Fungi; Ascomycota; Dothideomycetes; Pleosporales; Didymosphaeriaceae. The record is from RNAcentral.
CGCACAUUGCGCCCCUUGGUAUUCCAUGGGGCAUGCCUGUUCGAGCGUCAUUUACACCCUCAAGCUCUGCUUGGUGUUGGGCGUCUGUCCCGCCUCUGCGCGUGGACUCGCCCCAAAGUCAUUGGCAGCGGUCUCUUGCACCUCUCGCGCAGCACAUUGCGCUUCUUGAGGCGGCGAGGUCGCGACCACAAGCUCAAUUACCGUCUUUGACCUCGGAUCAGGUAGGGAUACCCGCUGAACUUAA